Molecule: long non-coding RNA, 305 nt
Organism: Priapulus caudatus
Lineage: Eukaryota; Metazoa; Priapulida; Priapulimorpha; Priapulimorphida; Priapulidae
Exons: 2
Source: RefSeq, a predicted model, not a curated record
ACGCUAUACGUUGUACAUAGUGCGCCGUGCUACUGGCCAAUGGUGUGUAUAAAAUUAACGCAGUAUCUUGUUGUAGAAAUUAUGAGCUAGCAGAGGUUGCAUUGUGCAAAAGAAUUUGUAUCGGGACACCUACUGGACGUUGUAUAUAUAUGAAGCAGUGGUAUUAGUUAUUGGCUGUAAAUAGCCCCUACACAUACGCGUAGCCUUGGCUGGAAUUUGAAUCGCAGAGAGCUUCAUUGACAAGGGAGACAGCUGAACCUGAAUCUAUAAGCGCAUGAGUUUAUUUGUCUGCGACCGAAGCAAAA